RNAcentral lists this long non-coding RNA (719 nucleotides) under Sorghum bicolor (sorghum). Its description in RNAcentral is "long non-coding RNA (SBIC_LNC009562)". Lineage: Eukaryota; Viridiplantae; Streptophyta; Magnoliopsida; Poales; Poaceae. The record is from RNAcentral.
UCAAUGUCAUCACAUAUAAUUGCUUGCCAACAGGUGUUUUUCAUUCUGCUAUGCUAUCAUGUAUCUCCAGUGACUCCGAGGCUCUGGCUAGCCCUGGAAGGUAUCUGGAAAUUUGAUAGGUUAGUGUAAAACGUAGAUGCUCCUCAUUUAUAAUAAUUCACACCAUCUGAAAUUCACACCAUUCCAACCAUCUGAAUCUCAUCGGAGCUGUUACAGCUCUGGGGGUACUCUGUGGUGGCUAUGUUGAAAAUUCCAAACGUGUAUAUUGAUUAUUAGGAUGAAGUGUUAAAUUUUAAUUUUUAUUAGAUAAUCACAAAAACAAUAAUCUUAGCUUUCACAAUCAUUCGACUUCUGAUUGCCUAAUUUACUAUGAAAGUAUGGGUACUUUUGGUUGGGCUUUUCAACCUGCUUUUUUUUUGCAAAAGCCAAAAGCCAACCAAAGGGCUCAAAAGUCACGAGUGUUUUUUUUUUUUGAAAAGCAAUUUUUACUAUAGUACAAAUCAAAAGGCACCUUUCCCUCUCCUUUCACGAGCUUUUAAGCCCAAGAGUUACCCACCUGCCACUAGUUAUGCGGAGGAAAUAUUGGUUCCCUUCGUUCUAUUCCUCGCUCGCGUCUAACUCCUGUCGCUCCUUCCACAUCCACGAGCGGACGUGACCCGUGGCUAGGAUUCAAGGUCACCAUUGGCGUGCUCCGGUAGGCUGCCACCCCACCAGUCCUG